AAAACCACCACAAACCAUGAUCGGGCUGACUCACACGCGACUGGAGAAUAAACAAACAGCAACAUAAGGAAAUAACUCGAGGGUUGUUUUUAAUGAUUCCCAUGUGGGGAAGUCCGCCAGUAUUGGGAGGGCUGGGUGCCCUUGGAGGAAAUGGGUUUUGUUACAUAAAGCUGGGUCCUUGUGGAAGCAACAGCACGUUGGGAAAGUUGGGGGGUCCCAAGUUUUCAGGACUCCUGGUGACCUUGGAAAUGCGGUCCAGACCAGUUGAUUGGUGUCUCAUCCAGCUGCAGGUGAGUGCUCACUGCCC
RNAcentral lists this long non-coding RNA (307 nucleotides) under Ailuropoda melanoleuca (giant panda). RNAcentral's name for it is "lncRNA (ENSAMEG00000030832.1)". The record is from RNAcentral. Lineage: Eukaryota; Metazoa; Chordata; Mammalia; Carnivora; Ursidae.